Molecule: ribosomal RNA, 2154 nt
Filed under: Enterococcus faecalis
Lineage: Bacteria; Bacillati; Bacillota; Bacilli; Lactobacillales; Enterococcaceae
Description: partial 23S ribosomal RNA
Rfam family: Bacterial large subunit ribosomal RNA
Source: RNAcentral
GGUUAAGUGAAUAAGGGCGCACGGUGGAUGCCUUGGCACUAGGAGCCGAUGAAGGACGGGACUAACACCGAUAUGCUUUGGGGAGCUGUAAGUAAGCUAUGAUCCAGAGAUUUCCGAAUGGGGGAACCCAAUAUCUUUUAUAGGAUAUUACUUUUCAGUGAAUACAUAGCUGAUUAGAGGUAGACGCAGAGAACUGAAACAUCUUAGUACCUGCAGGAAGAGAAAGAAAAUUCGAUUCCCUGAGUAGCGGCGAGCGAAACGGGAAGAGCCCAAACCAACAAGCUUGCUUGUUGGGGUUGUAGGACUCCGAUAUGGUAGUCUGUUAGUAUAGUUGAAGGAUUUGGAAAAUUCCGCUAAAGAGGGUGAAAGCCCCGUAGACGAAAUGCUGACAACACCUAGGAGGAUCCUGAGUACGGCGGAACACGAGAAAUUCCGUCGGAAUCCGCGGGGACCAUCCCGCAAGGCUAAAUACUCCCUAGUGACCGAUAGUGAACCAGUACCGUGAGGGAAAGGUGAAAAGCACCCCGGAAGGGGAGUGAAAUAGAUCCUGAAACCGUGUGCCUACAACAAGUCAAAGCUCGUUAAUGAGUGAUGGCGUGCCUUUUGUAGAAUGAACCGGCGAGUUACGAUUGCAUGCGAGGUUAAGUCGAAGAGACGGAGCCGCAGCGAAAGCGAGUCUGAAUAGGGCGAAUGAGUAUGUAGUCGUAGACCCGAAACCAUGUGAUCUACCCAUGUCCAGGUUGAAGGUGCGGUAAAACGCACUGGAGGACCGAACCCACGUACGUUGAAAAGUGCGGGGAUGAGGUGUGGGUAGCGGAGAAAUUCCAAACGAACUUGGAGAUAGCUGGUUCUCUCCGAAAUAGCUUUAGGGCUAGCCUCGGAAUUGAGAAUGAUGGAGGUAGAGCACUGUUUGGACUAGGGGCCCAUCUCGGGUUACCGAAUUCAGAUAAACUCCGAAUGCCAUUCAUUUAUAUCCGGGAGUCAGACUGCGAGUGAUAAGAUCCGUAGUCGAAAGGGAAACAGCCCAGACCACCAGCUAAGGUCCCAAAAUAUAUGUUAAGUGGAAAAGGAUGUGGGGUUGCACAGACAACUAGGAUGUUGGCUUAGAAGCAGCCACCAUUUAAAGAGUGCGUAAUAGCUCACUAGUCGAGUGACCCUGCGCCGAAAAUGUACCGGGGCUAAACAUAUUACCGAAGCUGUGGACUACACCAUUAGGUGUAGUGGUAGGAGAGCGUUCUAAGGGCGUUGAAGGUCGAUCGUGAGGACGGCUGGAGCGCUUAGAAGUGAGAAUGCCGGUAUGAGUAGCGAAAGACAGGUGAGAAUCCUGUCCACCGUAUGACUAAGGUUUCCUGGGGAAGGCUCGUCCGCCCAGGGUUAGUCGGGACCUAAGCCGAGGCCGAUAGGCGUAGGCGAUGGACAACAGGUUGAUAUUCCUGUACCAGUUGUUUUUGUUUGAGCAAUGGAGGGACGCAGUAGGCUAAGGAAUGCAUGCGAUUGGAAGUGCAUGUCCAAGCAAUGAGUCUUGAGUAGAGUUAAAUGCUUUACUCUUUAAGGACAAGUUGUGACGGGGAGCGAAAUAAUAGUAGCGAAGUUCCUGAUGUCACACUGCCAAGAAAAGCUUCUAGUGAGAAAACAACUGCCCGUACCGUAAACCGACACAGGUAGUCGAGGAGAGUAUCCUAAGGUGAGCGAGCGAACUCUCGUUAAGGAACUCGGCAAAAUGACCCCGUAACUUCGGGAGAAGGGGUGCUGACUUCGGUCAGCCGCAGUGAAUAGGCCCAAGCGACUGUUUAUCAAAAACACAGGUCUCUGCAAAAUCGUAAGAUGAAGUAUAGGGGCUGACGCCUGCCCGGUGCUGGAAGGUUAAGAGGAUGGGUUAGCUUCGGCGAAGCUCAGAAUUGAAGCCCCAGUAAACGGCGGCCGUAACUAUAACGGUCCUAAGGUAGCGAAAUUCCUUGUCGGGUAAGUUCCGACCCGCACGAAAGGCGUAACGAUUUGGGCACUGUCUCAACGAGAGACUCGGUGAAAUUUUAGUACCUGUGAAGAUGCAGGUUACCCGCGACAGGACGGAAAGACCCCAUGGAGCUUUACUGUAGUUUGAUAUUGAGUGUUUGUACCACAUGUACAGGAUAGGUAGGAGCCGAUGAGACCGGA